This 86-nucleotide microRNA precursor is filed under the name Leptotrombidium deliense. RNAcentral describes it as "mir-133 microRNA precursor family". The record is from RNAcentral. Lineage: Eukaryota; Metazoa; Arthropoda; Arachnida; Trombidiformes; Trombiculidae.
GGUGAAUUUGGAUGUCGGUGAAUCGGAUACAAAUCAUAUCUCUAGUGGAUUUGUACCCGAUUCACCGACACUUUAAAACAAUGACA